AGAGUUUGAUCCUGGCUCAGAAUGAACGCUGGCGGCGUGCCUAACACAUGCAAGUCGCACGAGAAAGGCUGGGUUUCGGCUUGGCCGAGUAAAGUGGCGCACGGGUGAGUAACGCGUGGGUGACCUACCCUCGAAUCUGGGAUAACCUCGCGAAAGCGGGGCUAAUACCGGAUACGUCCCUUCGGGGAGAAAGCCGGCCUCUCGAAGAAGCUGGUGUUCGGGGAUGGGCCCGCGUCCUAUCGGCUAGUUGGUAGGGUAACGGCCUACCAAGGCGACGACGGGUAGCUGGUCUGAGAGGAUGAUCAGCCACACUGGCACUGGAACACGGGCCAGACUCCUACGGGAGGCAGCAGUGAGGAAUUUUGCGCAAUGGGAGCAAUCCUGACGCAGCAACGCCGCGUGGGUGAAGAAGGCCUUCGGGUCGUAAAGCCCUGUCAGGAGGGAAGAACCUCGCUGGGGCGAAUAGCCUUGGCGACUGACGGUACCUCCAGAGGAAGCACCGGCUAACUCCGUGCCAGCAGCCGCGGUAAUACGGAGGGUGCGUGCGUUAUUCGGAAUUACUGGGCGUAAAGCGCGUGUAGGCGGCAGGGCAAGUCUGGUGUGAAAGCCCGGGGCUCAACCCCGGAAGUGCAUUGGAAACUGCUCUGCUUGAGUACCGGAGAGGAAGGGGGAAUUCCCGGUGUAGCGGUGAAAUGCGUAGAUAUCGGGAGGAAUACCAGUGGCGAAGGCGCCCUUCUGGACGGUCACUGACGCUGAGACGCGAAAGCGUGGGGAGCAAACAGGAUUAGAUACCCUGGUAGUCCACGCCGUAAACGAUGGGCACUAGGUGAAGCCGGUAUUGACCCCUG
This 848-nucleotide ribosomal RNA is filed under the name bacterium enrichment culture clone Dan60S_45E. RNAcentral describes it as "bacterial SSU rRNA". It matches the Rfam family "Bacterial small subunit ribosomal RNA", at positions 8 to 840 of the family's 1533-position model. The record is from RNAcentral.